AGAGUGAUUUUAAUCAUAUUCCUCGGAUAAAUUAAAAUUUAUAAUAUGGAUAAAAUUAAAUAAUUAACCCUGCAACGGGACUCAUGGGUCAUUCGUUGUUUUGAAAAUGUGAAUUCCUGGGAAAACAGUUAGGCUCGGGCUUUUUGUUUUGGUAUGUAAAAAAAGUUUGGGGUGGGGAUGGAAUGUGGCCGCCAGCGCGCCGGAAUCCACCAGUGUACCUACGACUGGCAGCGAGAACAAAUCUCCGAACGACACGAGUGAUCCAUGAAUCCUACUAACGUUUGAAGUCGAUAAGUGCGCAAAUGAGUCUAAAAUAUGAAAAAAAUAUGAAAAUAUGAGUAAAAUAUAUGAGUCUAAAAUAGCGACAGAAUGCCAAAAAGAAAAAGGUGUCACUUCUGCCCAACCAAAACAGACAGGAAAACGUUCUUCUGCUGUUAUAAAUGCAAAGAACCGGUUUGUGACGAUCAUCGACUUGCGUGAUGCUGUCCAGAAUGCUCGUAAAAUUUCAAAUGAUGUAACAUUAUGUUAUUAAUUAUGUAAUUUUAUGUUAAUUUCAUAUAAAUGCCAAUACUUGACAACUUA
Vollenhovia emeryi is the source of this 582-nucleotide long non-coding RNA. RefSeq lists it as uncharacterized. Lineage: Eukaryota; Metazoa; Arthropoda; Insecta; Hymenoptera; Formicidae. The transcript is spliced from 2 exons. The record is from RefSeq and is a predicted model, not a curated record.